This 747-nucleotide long non-coding RNA is filed under the name Junco hyemalis (dark-eyed junco). RNAcentral's name for it is "lncRNA (ENSJHYG00000008861.1)". The record is from RNAcentral. Lineage: Eukaryota; Metazoa; Chordata; Aves; Passeriformes; Passerellidae.
GCGGCGUGGCGCUGACGUCACCGGGGCGGUCGCCGGGAGCCCGCGCACCGGGACCCCCGGGAGGAACUGCCGGGAACCACCGGGAAUUACCGGGAAUUAGCGGGGGCUGCUCCGGGAGGAGCCCCCGGGCACGGCGGGGCCCCGCGCGGCUCCAGGGACCGCCGCGAUGCGCAGCGGAGCAUCCCGGAGAGGCGCGGGAAUGCCCCGGGCAGGGCAGCUGGAAUGGAGCUGGCUCCUAGAAAGGCUGAAUGCUUGGAGUCAGAAAAUUCCCUGCUGUCACAUCGUCCCUUGCCUUGGAGCUGGGCUCAGGCUUACAGUGAUUCCUGUUGCACACUCUUCCCAUCCCAGGUGUCAACUGAGCAGAGUCAGGAUCAGCUGCAGUUAUUCCAGAGUACGUGUCCACGUGCAGAAUAUUCCAGAACAGGAUCUUGACCAAGUCCUUCCUAGGGCAGGGGUAAAGCAGCAGAAUUUCAGAUCUCAAGCUUUUAUUAAGGUGAGUGUUCAAGGCUGGCCCUGGAUGGGUGUCCUGGGCCGCUCUUUGGUGGGUGAAAGGCAAUUGUUGGGCUGGAGAGAGGACGGAGCAGAACCCAAUUGACCCACACCGUGCAGGGAGCAGCGCUGAGCCCCUUUCACCAAGAGUCCUUGCUAAGAAACCUUUUUUAUUAGAGCUGAGUGCUGGAAUUAUUUCAAGGAAGUGAUUAUCUGCCUAAUAACAACUGUGCCCGCGUGAGUGACCGCCACAGGAAG